RNAcentral lists this ribosomal RNA (380 nucleotides) under uncultured eukaryote. RNAcentral's name for it is "partial 18S ribosomal RNA". It matches the Rfam family "Eukaryotic small subunit ribosomal RNA", at positions 592 to 976 of the family's 1831-position model. The record is from RNAcentral.
CAAUAGCGUAUAUUAAAGUUGUUGCAGUUAAAAAGCUCGUAGUUGGAUUUGUGGCGUACGGUGGGUUCCGGGCACUUGUUGUCUGAGUAACUUGCUGUUGCCAUCCUUGGGUGGAACCUGUGUGGCAUUAGGUUGUCGUGCAGGGGAUGCCCAUCAUUUACUGUGAAAAAAUUAGAGUGUUCAAAGCAGGCUUAUGCCGUUGAAUAUAUUAGCAUGGAAUAAUGAGAUAGGACUUUUUUGCUAUUUUGUUGGUUUGCGCAAAGAGGUAAUGAUUAAUAGGGACAGUUGGGGGUAUUCGUAUUCCAUUGUCAGAGGUGAAAUUCUUGGAUUUUUGGAAGACGAACUACUGCGAAAGCAUUUACCAAGGAUGUUCUCAUUAA